Molecule: ribosomal RNA, 371 nt
Filed under: uncultured organism
Description: bacterial SSU rRNA
Rfam family: Bacterial small subunit ribosomal RNA
Source: RNAcentral
CGGGGGUGCGAGCGUUGUCCGGAAUCACUGGGCGUAAAGGGCGCGUAGGUGGUCUAAUAAGGGUGUGGUGAAAGCCCGGGGCUCAACCCCGGGUCGGCCGUGCCGACUGUUGGACUAGAGUGCUGUAGGGGCAGGCGGAAUUCCGGGUGUAGCGGUGGAAUGCGUAGAGAUCCGGAGGAAGACCGGUGGCGAAGGCGGCCUGCUGGGCAGUUACUGACACUGAGGCGCGACAGCGUGGGGAGCAAACAGGAUUAGAUACCCUGGUAGUCCACGCCGUAAACGAUGGGUACUAGGUGCCUGGGGGAGCGACCCCUUGGGUGCCGGCGCUAACGCAGGAAGUACCCCGCCUGGGGAGUACGACCGCAAGGUUG